This 231-nucleotide ribosomal RNA is filed under the name uncultured bacterium. Its description in RNAcentral is "partial 16S ribosomal RNA". The record is from RNAcentral.
CUGCUGCCUCCCGUAGGAGUCUGGGCCGUGUCUCAGUCCCAAUGUGGCCGGUCACUCUCUCAAGCCGGCUACUGAUCGUUGCUUUGGUAGGCCGUUACCCUGCCAACUGGCUAAUCAGACGCGGGGCCAUCGUAUGCCGAUAAAUCUUUUCACACCAUGCCAUGCAGCAUUGUGUGCUUAUGCGGUAUUAGCAGUCAUUUCUGACUGUUGUCCCCCUGCAUACGGCAGGUU